GUCCUAGCCGUAAACGAUGGACACUAGGUGUUGGUGGUAUCAACCCCGCCAGUGCCGAAGCUAACGCAUUAAGUGUCCCGCCUGGGGAGUACGGCCGCAAGGCUAAAACUCAAAGGAAUUGACGGGGGCCCGCACAAGCAGCGGAGCGUGGGGUUUAAUUCGACGCAACGCGAAGAACCUUACCAGGGCUUGACAUGACCAGGACCGCGGCGGAAACGUCGCUUUCCCGCAAGGGACCUGGCCACAGGUGUUGCAUGGCUGUCGU
RNAcentral lists this ribosomal RNA (265 nucleotides) under uncultured bacterium. Its description in RNAcentral is "partial 16S ribosomal RNA". It matches the Rfam family "Bacterial small subunit ribosomal RNA", at positions 793 to 1055 of the family's 1533-position model. The record is from RNAcentral.